RNAcentral lists this ribosomal RNA (16 nucleotides) under Magnaporthiopsis incrustans. Its description in RNAcentral is "partial 26S ribosomal RNA". The record is from RNAcentral. Lineage: Eukaryota; Fungi; Ascomycota; Sordariomycetes; Magnaporthales; Magnaporthaceae.
UCGAGCUGACCUCGGA